Molecule: ribosomal RNA, 482 nt
Filed under: uncultured bacterium
Lineage: Bacteria
Description: partial 16S ribosomal RNA
Rfam family: Bacterial small subunit ribosomal RNA
Source: RNAcentral
AGUGAACGUUGGCGGCGUGGAUUAGGCAUGCAAGUCGAGCGAGAGCCGUAGCAAUACGGGGACAGCGGCGAAAGGGACAGUAAUGUGUAGGUACCUACCUCCGGGUUCGGGAUAGCUGCGGGAAACUGCAGGUAAUACCGAAUAACGUCUCCGGACCAAAGGUGUGAUUCCACCUGGAGAGGGGCCUGCAUCCUAUUAGCUUGUUGGCGGGGUAACGGCCCACCAAGGCGACGAGGGGUAGCGGGUGUGAGAGCACGACCCGCGUCAUUGGGACUGAGACACUGCCCAGACACCUACGGGUGGCUGCAGUCGUGAAUCUUCGGCAAUGGGCGCAAGCCUGACCGAGCGACGCCGCGUGCGGGAUGAAGGCCUUCGGGUUGUAAACCGCUGUCGUAGAGGAGGAAAUGCAGGGGGGUUCUCCCCUCUGUUUGACCUAUUCUAGGAGGAAGUACGGGCUAAGUUCGUGCCAGCCGCCGCAGUAA